CCUGAUCCAAUCACAGUGCUUCCCCAUAGGAUUGGCUGAGACUGACAAAGAGGCAGAUCAGAGUCAGAGCCAGCAUGAUUCAAACACUGCCCUGGCCAAUCAGCAUCUCCUUAUAGAGAUGAAUUGAAUUAAUGAAUCUCUAUGAGGAAAGUUCAGUGUCUGCAUGCAGAGGGAGGAGACACUGAAUGUUUGGAUGCAUUUUAGGC
Pelobates cultripes (western spadefoot toad) is the source of this 206-nucleotide non-coding RNA. NCBI's taxonomy places the organism in Eukaryota, Metazoa, Chordata, Amphibia, Anura, Pelobatidae. The record is from the annotation of a GenBank genome assembly.